CUUUGGGGCUUCCCGAGACGUAGGUGCUGYUGCCGUGGUUGGAGUGCAGCACGAUAGGCAGAAACACUAUUAUUUCCGACAUACGAGAACUUUGAUCUUUUAACAAAGCGCAAAGCCUCAUUCAUCUGGUGCUCAACAUCAUACUUACUGUUUAUCUUCCUGCUCUGAUAUUUACUUCACAUACAAAUAUUCCAGAAGUAACUAGAACAUAAAAGAAGAAAUUUGGCAAGUAGUCUGUGUCUCUUGUAUCUCUUAAGCUAUAAGAGGUAUUGUAUUUCUUAUGCUCUGUUUUCAAGGUUUACUCGAAUAAUAUGCUGGAAGGUGAUUUUACAGAUUAACUAAUCCAACUGUAUUCUGUGAAAUCCUGUGUUUUGAGAUUUCCCACUUGAAACUUUGGCCUUUGCCCUUGCCUGUCUGUUAGAUUGUAUGGUGAAUUUCUGGUUGUAAAUAGGCUGAGAUAAAUUCAGGUUCUCCAAAAAUAAUGUGGUCUUG
Long non-coding RNA from Nothoprocta perdicaria, 492 nucleotides. RefSeq lists it as uncharacterized. The record is from RefSeq and is a predicted model, not a curated record. Lineage: Eukaryota; Metazoa; Chordata; Aves; Tinamiformes; Tinamidae. The transcript is spliced from 2 exons.